RNAcentral lists this small RNA (116 nucleotides) under Marmota monax (woodchuck). The record is from RNAcentral. Lineage: Eukaryota; Metazoa; Chordata; Mammalia; Rodentia; Sciuridae.
GCUGGGCGUAGUGACAUACACCUCUAAUCCCAGUAGCUUGGGAGCUGAGGCAGGAGGAUCAUAAUUCUCCUUUGGGAAUUUAGGAGGCCCUUAGCAACUCAGAGACCCUGUCUCUA